CCUACGGGGGGCAGCAGUGGGGAAUAUUGCACAAUGGGGGAAACCCUGAUGCAGCGACGCCGCGUGAGCGAUGAAGUAUUUCGGUAUGUAAAGCUCUAUCAGCAGGGAAGAAACUGACGGUACCUGACUAAGAAGCACCGGCUAAAUACGUGCCAGCAGCCGCGGUAAUACGUAUGGUGCAAGCGUUAUCCGGAUUUACUGGGUGUAAAGGGAGCGUAGACGGACUUGCAAGUCUGAAGUGAAAGCCCGGGGCUCAACCCCGGGACUGCUUUGGAAACUGUAGGUCUAGAGUGCUGGAGAGGUAAGUGGAAUUCCUAGUGUAGCGGUGAAAUGCGUAGAUAUUAGGAGGAACACCAGUGGCGAAGGCGGCUUACUGGACAGUAACUGACGUUGAGGCUCGAAAGCGUGGGGAGCAAACAGGAUUAGAUACCCUGGUAGUC
RNAcentral lists this ribosomal RNA (440 nucleotides) under uncultured bacterium. Its description in RNAcentral is "bacterial SSU rRNA". It matches the Rfam family "Bacterial small subunit ribosomal RNA", at positions 338 to 795 of the family's 1533-position model. The record is from RNAcentral.